Molecule: long non-coding RNA, 621 nt
Filed under: Cricetulus griseus (Chinese hamster)
Lineage: Eukaryota; Metazoa; Chordata; Mammalia; Rodentia; Cricetidae
Description: lncRNA (ENSCGRG00000026455.1)
Source: RNAcentral
CCCAACUCCUCCUCUCCCCCUGCCUCCUCCCAGCUUUAUAAAAGGAGUAAACCACUUUUGGGAGAGGAGAUUGAUUAGCUGAUUUGCAGAAAAGAGAUUUCUCAGAUGUAUGGAGCUGCCUGCAAGUUGUACAGAGACCUAGAGAGGAGCUUUUAUGAGUCAUUGCCGGUGUUGAGGUGGGGUUUUCAGUGACGCAGCUGCUUCUGAGUCAUCCUUGCUCCUAAAAGUACCCACUUACCCACACUCCUGUUAGUCAUCUCAAUUGAAACCUCAUCAGUUCGCAAAGUUGGAGUUUGUAUAAUAGUCAUUACUUCAGUCUGCCCUGAGUUAUCUCUCUAGAAAGGAUCCUGAAUGUCCUGCGUCAUUCUUGCUGGCGAGACGGUAGCGCUGGACAACUGGUGCCGAAACCCGGGAAAUCGAGACCUCAUCAUCGUCAGCACCAUCGGAGAGCCCUUGGCUACAAGGAGGAUUCAGAACUGCAGGCAGAUAAGUAUGGCUACAACCCCUCAUCCAUGAAGCCCCUCUUUACAGAAAAUGGAGCCCAUCACAGAAAACCACAACUAGACACAAUGCAGAGAUCAACGUAUCCUGGGGAGCCCAGCCGCAACUGAUACACCUUUA